RNAcentral lists this long non-coding RNA (1804 nucleotides) under Sus scrofa (pig). Its description in RNAcentral is "lncRNA (ENSSSCG00055001073.1)". The record is from RNAcentral. Lineage: Eukaryota; Metazoa; Chordata; Mammalia; Artiodactyla; Suidae.
UAAGAAAAGGAGGAUGUAGUGCUCAAAAAAUGCCCCAAAUCCCUAAGGAGUGCAUAAUUAACAUACUGGCAAAACAUUAAAAUUUAAUAUUCCUUAUUUCAGCCUUAUUCCAUCUUCCUGAGGGCAACACUCCAAUGUGGCCUGAGCAAUAUCCAUUCAUCCUGUGUGUCAGAGUGGCAGUGCUGUGAAGUAGCCACAAGCGGAGGUAAAAAUGAAGACGGCUUUUCAAAAUCUUGCUUACAGAGGGAAACGACUAGGUGACCAGUGUUGGACAGUGAGAAUUAAAUGGAAGCUAUUCAGUAGGGCUUCUGGGAAAGCUCCUUAAAAGAAUGCUGACUCAGUUUGGCACUUAGCCUUUAAUGGUUUUCCUGUUCUUUGGGAUGUUGAUGCAAUAGCCGGUGCAGCAGAAGCCUGUUGCCACAAUGAGACGACUCACUGAGGACGAAACCAGCUAAUAAAGAUGGCAAAGCAGAAAGAUAGAAUGAGCCUAAAAAAUAACGACAGUGAGGUUCCUUUAAGAUAGCUCUGGACUCCCCACUGCAGAAUUUUCUGUUAGGUAAGAGGAAGGGAAAAAAAAAAUCUGUCUUGCUUAAGCCUCUCCUGUUCUUUGUUAUUAAUAUAUGUAACUCCAGCUCUCACACCAUCUAUGUCCUAAGUCUGUGACUCAUAAGUCUCUCUUAGUUUUCAACUGAAAGCAUGCAUAAACUGUUCACCGUUACUGCAUCUCCACAUUUAACUUCACCUGCAAGCUCUCCAUUUCCAGUAAAUAAUACUGAUAACUUUUGUUUUCCCUUUUUCUUGCAAAAUUUGGUGACACAUACUAUUUAUUUGCAGGAAAAAAAACCUCUGACAUUUUCCCCUUGCUAUUCCAAUUGCUAAGCCAAGGGGACUUGCUGCCUACAAAUAAAGGGAGACAGGCAAGGUUGUGUGGCGAAGAUGCUGUUUGAGGCGGUCUUGGAGGAGGGCCAACCACUUGCAGAGUAAGGAUGAGCUGGAGCUCCUGGGGGCCCAGUCACCAUCUAAGAAGCCUGAAGAUGUUUCCAUUGCCAUCUCAUUAUCAGUUCCUUUCAGAACAACUGAAAGAAAGAAAAGACAGAUUUAUUCGCCGAAGCGAUGGAGAAGGAUAUUAGGACAAACGUCUAUGUGGAAAAAACAAUCCAACGUACGCAUUUCUUGGGUGAAAAGAUACACAGCGUUUUCAGAGGCUUUUCCCCCGCUCAUCUUAAUGAAGGUGAAUUAUUUAACACAGUUAAAUAAUCUCCAGUUUUCAAUUUAAUGAGACUUACCAGCCCUACGUUUGGCACAUUCUCUUCUAUUAAGCUUUCAGCUAAACCCCAGAGAUAAAAGGUGUUUUACUUCAAAGAAAUCUGAUUUGUUUUUUAUCUAGUAUAUUCAACUGGCAUAAAUUCAGGCAUACCACAUCAGACCUCAGUGAAAUCUGUGUUAGAAGUUUCCCUUUGUUUUCAAAGUCCUUAUAAAUAGCUUUCUUCCAAGCUAUACCUGGUCUUUGUGAACAGAAUGAGUAAGGUUUGAGUGUGUAGGUAAACACAUUUGUAGGAGUCUGUAGAUUUAGGGCCUGGGCUGUUAAGGCAGAUCUGGAAACUGUAAGAGAAUAGCUAAGUAAACUAAAAAAAUAUUAGAGAAUAGAUAGGUUUUUUUAAAAAAAUAGAAAGUCAGUUUAUCUAGAUGUGUGACCAUGACAAGUCCAGUUGUGCUCACUCGACUGAAAGGUCACUGUGUACUUUGGGGAUUCUGUGGGGUUCCCCCCCAAGCACUGCCGAUAGCAGACACAGCUGGGCAGGAG